RNAcentral lists this ribosomal RNA (252 nucleotides) under uncultured bacterium. RNAcentral describes it as "partial 16S ribosomal RNA". It matches the Rfam family "Bacterial small subunit ribosomal RNA", at positions 524 to 776 of the family's 1533-position model. The record is from RNAcentral.
UACGGAGGAUGCGAGCGUUGUCCGGAUUUAUUGGGCGUAAAGCGAGCGCAGGUGGUUUAUUAAGUCUGGUGUAAAAGGCAGUGGCUCAACCAUUGUAUGCAUUGGAAACUGGUAGACUUGAGUGCGGGAGAGGAGAGUGGAAUUCCAUGUGUAGCGGUGAAAUGCGUAGAUAUAUGGAGGAACACCGGUGGCGAAAGCGGCUCUCUGGCCUGUAACUGACACUGAGGCUCGAAAGCGUGGGGAGCAAACAGG